UACGGAGGGUGCGAGCGUUGUUCGGAUUUACUGGGCGUAAAGGGCGCGUAGGCGGCGCGGUAAGUCACUUGUGAAAUCUCUGAGCUUAACUCAGAACGGCCAAGUGAUACUGCAGUGCUAGAGUGUGGAAGGGGCAAUCGGAAUUCUUGGUGUAGCGGUGAAAUGCGUAGAUAUCAAGAGGAACACCUGAGGUGAAGACGGGUUGCUGGGCCAACACUGACGCUGAGGCGCGAAAGCCAGGGGAGCAAACGGG
This 253-nucleotide ribosomal RNA is filed under the name uncultured bacterium. RNAcentral describes it as "partial 16S ribosomal RNA". It matches the Rfam family "Bacterial small subunit ribosomal RNA", at positions 524 to 776 of the family's 1533-position model. The record is from RNAcentral.